This 1147-nucleotide ribosomal RNA is filed under the name Drosophila sechellia. RNAcentral describes it as "SSU rRNA". It matches the Rfam family "Eukaryotic small subunit ribosomal RNA", at positions 1 to 1063 of the family's 1831-position model. Lineage: Eukaryota; Metazoa; Arthropoda; Insecta; Diptera; Drosophilidae. The record is from RNAcentral.
UCUGGUUGAUCCUGCCAGUAAUUAUAUGCUUGUCUCAUAGAUUAAGCCGUGCAUGUCUAAAGUACACACUAAUUAAAACGUGAACCCGCCAAAAGGCUCAUUAUAUCAGUUAUGGUUCCUUAGAUCGUUUACAGUUACUUGGGAUAAACUGUGGGUAAUUCUAGAGCUAAUACAUGCAAUUAAAACAUGAACCUUAUGGGACAUGUGCUUUUAUUAGGCUAAAACCCAAGCGAUCGCAAGAUCGUUAUAUUGGUUGAACUCUAGAUAACAUGCAGAUCGUAUGGUCUUGUACCGACGACAGAUCUUUCAAAUGUCUGCCCCUAUCAACUUUUGAUGGUAGUAUCUAGGACUACCAUGGUUGCAACGGGUAACGGGGAAUCAGGGUUCGAUUCCGGAGAGGGAGCCUGAGAAACGGCUACCACAUCUAAGGAAGGCAGCAGGCGCGUAAAUUACCCACUCCCAGCUCGGGGAGGUAGUGACGAAAAAUAACAAUACAGGACUCAUAUCCGAGGCCCUGUAAUUGGAAUGAGUACACUUUAAAUCCUUUAACAAGGACCAAUUGGAGGGCAAGUCUGGUGCCAGCAGCCGCGGUAAUUCCAGCUCCAAUAGCGUAUAUUAAAGUUGUUGCGGUUAAAACGUUCGUAGUUGAACUUGUGCUUCAUACGGGUAGUACAACUUACAAUUGUGGUUAGUACUAUACCUUUAUGUAUGUAAGCGUAUUACCGGUGGAGUUCUUAUAUGUGAUUAAAUACUUGUAUUUUUUCAUAUGUUCCUCCUAUUUAAAAACCUGCACUAGUGCUCUUAAACGAGUGUUAUUGUGGGCCGGUACUAUUACUUUGAACAAAUUAGAGUGCUUAAAGCAGGCUUCAAAUGCCUGAAUAUUCUGUGCAUGGGAUAAUGAAAUAAGACCUCUGUUCUGCUUUCAUUGGUUUUCAGAUCAAGAGGUAAUGAUUAAUAGAAGCAGUUUGGGGGCAUUAGUAUUACGACGCGAGAGGUGAAAUUCUUGGACCGUCGUAAGACUAACUUAAGCGAAAGCAUUUGCCAAAGAUGUUUUCAUUAAUCAAGAACGAAAGUUAGAGGUUCGAAGGCGAUCAGAUACCGCCCUAGUUCUAACCAUAAACGAUGCCAGCUAGCAAUUGGGUGUAGC